UCCGAGUUGACCCCGGCAGUCUCCUGCGAGUCCCCGCCAUUACGCGCUGGCAACACAGGACAAGGGUUGCGCUCGUUGCGGGACUUAACCCAACAUCUCACGACACGAGCUGACGACAGCCAUGCACCACCUGUAUACCGACCACAAGGGGGGCCGUAUCUCUACGGCUUUCCGGUAUAUGUCAAACCCAGGUAAGGUGGGGAUGACGUAACACGCAAUAACA
Molecule: unclassified non-coding RNA, 223 nt
Filed under: uncultured Nocardiaceae bacterium
Lineage: Bacteria; Bacillati; Actinomycetota; Actinomycetes; Mycobacteriales; Nocardiaceae
Description: contains 16S-23S intergenic spacer region
Source: RNAcentral